This 682-nucleotide ribosomal RNA is filed under the name bacterium B4. Its description in RNAcentral is "bacterial SSU rRNA". It matches the Rfam family "Bacterial small subunit ribosomal RNA", at positions 37 to 766 of the family's 1533-position model. The record is from RNAcentral.
UGGCGGCAGGCCUAACACAUGCAAGUCGAACGGACCCUUCGGGGUAGUGGCGGACGGGUGAGUAACACGUGGGAACGUGCCUUUAGGUUCGGAAUAGCUCCAGGAAACGGGUGGUAAUGCCGAAUGUGCCCUUCGGGGGAAAGAUUUAUCGCCUUUAGAGCGGCCCGCGUCUGAUUAGCUAGUUGGUGAGGUAAUGGCUCACCAAGGCGACGAUCAGUAGCUGGUCUGAGAGGAUGACCAGCCACAUUGGGACUGAGACACGGCCCAAACUCCUACGGGAGGCAGCAGUGGGGAAUCUUGCGCAAUGGGCGAAAGCCUGACGCAGCCAUGCCGCGUGAAUGAUGAAGGUCUUAGGAUUGUAAAAUUCUUUCACCGGGGACGAUAAUGACGGUACCCGGAGAAGAAGCCCCGGCUAACUUCGUGCCAGCAGCCGCGGUAAUACGAAGGGGGCUAGCGUUGCUCGGAAUUACUGGGCGUAAAGGGCGCGUAGGCGGACAUUUAAGUCAGGGGUGAAAUCCCAGAGCUCAACUCUGGAACUGCCUUUGAUACUGGGUGUCUUGAGUGUGAGAGAGGUAUGUGGAACUCCGAGUGUAGAGGUGAAAUUCGUAGAUAUUCGGAAGAACACCAGUGGCGAAGGCGACAUACUGGCUCAUUACUGACGCUGAGGCGCGAAAGCGUGGGG